CCUACGGGAGGCAGCAGUGGGGAAUUUUGCGCAAUGGGCGAAAGCCUGACGCAGCAACGCCGCGUGAGUGAUGAAGGCUUUCGGGUCGUAAAGCUCUGUCGAGGGGAAAGAAGUGUAUUGCGGCUAAUAUCCGCGAUACUUGACGGUACCCCUAAAGGAAGCACCGGCU
RNAcentral lists this ribosomal RNA (169 nucleotides) under uncultured bacterium. RNAcentral describes it as "partial 16S ribosomal RNA". It matches the Rfam family "Bacterial small subunit ribosomal RNA", at positions 338 to 498 of the family's 1533-position model. The record is from RNAcentral.